RNAcentral lists this non-coding RNA (234 nucleotides) under Lachnoclostridium sp. RNAcentral describes it as "T-box sequence". It matches the Rfam family "T-box leader". Rfam says of the family: Uncharged tRNA acts as the effector for transcription antitermination of genes in the T-box leader family. T-boxes are found upstream of many aminoacyl-tRNA synthetase genes and some amino acid biosynthetic genes usually in Gram-positive bacteria. The anticodon of a specific tRNA base pairs to a specifier sequence within the T-box motif, and the NCCA acceptor tail of the tRNA base pairs to a conserved bulge in the T-box antiterminator hairpin. Lineage: Bacteria; Bacillati; Bacillota; Clostridia; Lachnospirales; Lachnospiraceae. The record is from RNAcentral.
GCAAAUACUGUGACAGGGAGUAGUAGCCAUCUACAGCGCAUCAGAGAGCCGCCGGCCGGUGAAAGGCGGUUGCGUGAACGUGGUGAACUGGCCCUUGAGUAGCCUUCCCAACGGAUCAGGGGAUCCCAGUAGGAACGGCCGGCUGCCCGCCGUUACCGGGACGACGAGGAGCACACGGACAGGCGUGUGAAAUAGAGUGGUACCGCGUGAGAAGAAUGGUCUUGCGUCUCUAUA